GUGGGGAAUCUUAGACAAUGGGCGCAAGCCUGAUCUAGCCAUGCCGCGUGAGCGAUGAAGGCCUUAGGGUUGUAAAGCUCUUUCGUGGGGGAAGAUAAUGACUGUACCCCAAGAAGAAGCCCCGGCUAACUCCGUGCCAGCAGCCGCGGUAAUACGGAGGGGGCUAGCGUUGUUCGGAAUUACUGGGCGUAAAGCGCACGUAGGCGGACUGGAAAGUCAGGGGUGAAAUCCCGGGGCUCAACCCCGGAACUGCCUUUGAAACUCCCAGACUUGAGUUCGAGAGAGGUGGGUGGAAUUCCGAGUGUAGAGGUGAAAUUCGUAGAGAUUCGGAGGAACACCAGUGGCGAAGGCGGCUCACUGGCUCGAUACUGACGCUGAGGUGCGAAAGCGUGGGGAGCAAACAGGAUUAGAUACCCGAGUAGUCC
Molecule: ribosomal RNA, 425 nt
Filed under: uncultured bacterium
Lineage: Bacteria
Description: partial 16S ribosomal RNA
Rfam family: Bacterial small subunit ribosomal RNA
Source: RNAcentral